This 2894-nucleotide ribosomal RNA is filed under the name Pseudomonas orientalis. RNAcentral's name for it is "23S ribosomal RNA". It matches the Rfam family "Bacterial large subunit ribosomal RNA". Lineage: Bacteria; Pseudomonadati; Pseudomonadota; Gammaproteobacteria; Pseudomonadales; Pseudomonadaceae. The record is from RNAcentral.
GGUCAAGUGAAGAAGCGCAUACGGUGGAUGCCUUGGCAGUCAGAGGCGAUGAAAGACGUGGUAGCCUGCGAAAAGCUUCGGGGAGUCGGCAAACAGACUUUGAUCCGGAGAUGUCUGAAUGGGGGAACCCAGCCAUCAUAAGAUGGUUACCUUACACUGAAUACAUAGGUGUAUGGAGCGAACCAGGGGAACUGAAACAUCUAAGUACCCUGAGGAAAAGAAAUCAACCGAGAUUCCCUUAGUAGUGGCGAGCGAACGGGGACUAGCCCUUAAGUGGCUUUGAGAUUAGCGGAACGCUCUGGAAAGUGCGGCCAUAGUGGGUGAUAGCCCUGUACGCGAAAAUCUCUUAGUCAUGAAAUCGAGUAGGACGGAGCACGAGAAACUUUGUCUGAAUAUGGGGGGACCAUCCUCCAAGGCUAAAUACUACUGACUGACCGAUAGUGAACUAGUACCGUGAGGGAAAGGCGAAAAGAACCCCGGAGAGGGGAGUGAAAUAGAUCCUGAAACCGUAUGCGUACAAGCAGUGGGAGCCCACUUUGUUGGGUGACUGCGUACCUUUUGUAUAAUGGGUCAGCGACUUAUUUUCAGUGGCGAGCUUAACCGAAUAGGGGAGGCGUAGCGAAAGCGAGUCUUAAUAGGGCGUCUAGUCGCUGGGAAUAGACCCGAAACCGGGCGAUCUAUCCAUGGGCAGGUUGAAGGUUGGGUAACACUAACUGGAGGACCGAACCGACUACCGUUGAAAAGUUAGCGGAUGACCUGUGGAUCGGAGUGAAAGGCUAAUCAAGCUCGGAGAUAGCUGGUUCUCCUCGAAAGCUAUUUAGGUAGCGCCUCAUGUAUCACUGUAGGGGGUAGAGCACUGUUUCGGCUAGGGGGUCAUCCCGACUUACCAAACCGAUGCAAACUCCGAAUACCUACAAGUGCCGAGCAUGGGAGACACACGGCGGGUGCUAACGUCCGUCGUGAAAAGGGAAACAACCCAGACCGUCAGCUAAGGUCCCAAAGUUAUGGUUAAGUGGGAAACGAUGUGGGAAGGCUUAGACAGCUAGGAGGUUGGCUUAGAAGCAGCCACCCUUUAAAGAAAGCGUAAUAGCUCACUAGUCGAGUCGGCCUGCGCGGAAGAUGUAACGGGGCUCAAACCAUACACCGAAGCUACGGGUAUCACGUAAGUGAUGCGGUAGAGGAGCGUUCUGUAAGCCUGUGAAGGUGAGUUGAGAAGCUUGCUGGAGGUAUCAGAAGUGCGAAUGCUGACAUGAGUAACGACAAUGGGUGUGAAAAACACCCACGCCGAAAGACCAAGGUUUCCUGCGCAACGUUAAUCGACGCAGGGUUAGUCGGUCCCUAAGGCGAGGCUGAAAAGCGUAGUCGAUGGAAAACAGGUUAAUAUUCCUGUACUUCUGGUUAUUGCGAUGGAGGGACGGAGAAGGCUAGGCCAGCUUGGCGUUGGUUGUCCAAGUUUAAGGUGGUAGGCUGAGAUCUUAGGUAAAUCCGGGAUCUUAAGGCCGAGAGCUGAUGACGAGUCGUCUUUUAGACGACGAAGUGGUUGAUGCCAUGCUUCCAAGAAAAGCUUCUAAGCUUCAGGUAACCAGGAACCGUACCCCAAACCGACACAGGUGGUUGGGUAGAGAAUACCAAGGCGCUUGAGAGAACUCGGGUGAAGGAACUAGGCAAAAUGGCACCGUAACUUCGGGAGAAGGUGCGCCGGUGAGGGUGAAGGACUUGCUCCGUAAGCUCAUGCCGGUCGAAGAUACCAGGCCGCUGCGACUGUUUAUUAAAAACACAGCACUCUGCAAACACGAAAGUGGACGUAUAGGGUGUGACGCCUGCCCGGUGCCGGAAGGUUAAUUGAUGGGGUUAGCUAACGCGAAGCUCUUGAUCGAAGCCCCGGUAAACGGCGGCCGUAACUAUAACGGUCCUAAGGUAGCGAAAUUCCUUGUCGGGUAAGUUCCGACCUGCACGAAUGGCGUAACGAUGGCGGCGCUGUCUCCACCCGAGACUCAGUGAAAUUGAAAUCGCUGUGAAGAUGCAGUGUAUCCGCGGCUAGACGGAAAGACCCCGUGAACCUUUACUAUAGCUUUGCACUGGACUUUGAAUUUGCUUGUGUAGGAUAGGUGGGAGGCUUUGAAGCGUGGACGCCAGUCUGCGUGGAGCCAACCUUGAAAUACCACCCUGGCAACUUUGAGGUUCUAACUCAGGUCCGUUAUCCGGAUCGAGGACAGUGUAUGGUGGGUAGUUUGACUGGGGCGGUCUCCUCCUAAAGAGUAACGGAGGAGUACGAAGGUGCGCUCAGACCGGUCGGAAAUCGGUCGUAGAGUAUAAAGGCAAAAGCGCGCUUGACUGCGAGACAGACACGUCGAGCAGGUACGAAAGUAGGUCUUAGUGAUCCGGUGGUUCUGUAUGGAAGGGCCAUCGCUCAACGGAUAAAAGGUACUCCGGGGAUAACAGGCUGAUACCGCCCAAGAGUUCAUAUCGACGGCGGUGUUUGGCACCUCGAUGUCGGCUCAUCACAUCCUGGGGCUGAAGCCGGUCCCAAGGGUAUGGCUGUUCGCCAUUUAAAGUGGUACGCGAGCUGGGUUUAGAACGUCGUGAGACAGUUCGGUCCCUAUCUGCCGUGGACGUUUGAGAUUUGAGAGGGGCUGCUCCUAGUACGAGAGGACCGGAGUGGACGAACCUCUGGUGUUCCGGUUGUCACGCCAGUGGCAUUGCCGGGUAGCUAUGUUCGGAAUAGAUAACCGCUGAAAGCAUCUAAGCGGGAAACUAGCCUCAAGAUGAGAUCUCACUGGAACCUUGAGUUCCCUGAAGGGCCGUCGAAGACUACGACGUUGAUAGGUUGGGUGUGUAAGCGCUGUGAGGCGUUGAGCUAACCAAUACUAAUUGCCCGUGAGGCUUGACCAUAU